Molecule: small RNA, 1204 nt
Filed under: Drosophila ananassae
Lineage: Eukaryota; Metazoa; Arthropoda; Insecta; Diptera; Drosophilidae
Description: GF27201
Source: RNAcentral
UAAUGUGUCAGUAUAAUAUUCUUUCAAUAGCAUUCAAAAUACUCACUACAAUAUAGACACAACAAAAUUUGCUCCGUUUUUUCUAUCAAUAUUUUUAAAUAUGGGAAGCGCCAAAGUAGUAAUUGUCCGCAGCACUAUUGUUAAAUCGCUUUUGGUCAAGAAUGGAAGUCAGGGCGUAAGCAUAGUCCGAAUGGUGAAGCUCAUCAAGCCCGUAAAGGAGUGUAUACCACUCUGAAGACUUCCAUAAAUAAAAUUGUGAUGAAAAUAAUAAAAUUGCAUGGUUAUGGCUGAAGUGCCUUAUAUAUUUCCAAUUUUAUAGCAUCAGAGAGAUCAUAUUCAAAUCAAGAAUAAUCAAUUUUUUAAGAGAAAUAAAAAGUAGGAAUCGUUAACCACUGUGCCUGGCACAACGACGAACAACUUCAUUCAGUUUCAGUUCACAUUAAUGCGGCGUGAAUUAAGUGUCAAGGACAUUUUUUGGUUUUGCUGCCAACGACGCAACAUGUUUCAGUCUCUGGUGCUCGCUGCCUCUACUGCCGGCAUGUCCUUGCCCCGCCAUCAGUGGGUGGUGUUAUGUUUGUCAUGUGUCCUUGCGUCUGUGUGUGUGUUUGUGCUUUGGGUGACCGAAAAUGCGUUGCAACAUUCAAAGAAAGAAAGGACAUUCAGAGGAACAGUAAAUCAUCGUCAUCAUCAUCAUCAUCAUCAUGAUUGGGGGCACGAAAGGACAUCUACACACGCAGGCAGGCAGGCAGGCAUCGGAGGCAGUUAUGGCUGUCAAGAUGAAUGCCAUAUCAUCGCCGCACCGAAAACGGUGUCAAAACGUCACCAACGGCGGUUCAGCCCUUCAGCAGUAAAACUGCAAACAGAAAACAGGACCUCCACCGUUGUUAUCCGGAUGAAUUAUGAUUUGUGCUCCCAGCCGUAGGAGAAGCAGGAGGAGCUGCUGACCUGACCCCCGCACGCCCACUGCAUCCCCACAAAUACUGGCAAUCUGUCACUUGGUCCUCUGAAUUUGUGGGAACAGGUUCCUCUCUCCGUUUUUGUGAAGAACCACAGAAAAAUUAAAUGCUAAACGAAGGUAUUUACAAUCCAGGAUUACUGGAUCCUGCCUGAUGCAACUUGUAAAAUUUUUAAAGUGAUAUGGAUGUUAUUGUAUCAUUGUCCUUAAAUGUAAGCCUUUUGCUCUAAAAACCAAAUCGUUUUCCAA